Molecule: long non-coding RNA, 3527 nt
Filed under: Populus tremula
Lineage: Eukaryota; Viridiplantae; Streptophyta; Magnoliopsida; Malpighiales; Salicaceae
Description: long non-coding RNA (PTRE_LNC001318)
Source: RNAcentral
UCAUAUUAUUCAAAACUGAUAAAACUAAAUGAUAGUUCAAACACUUCUCAUCGGUAAUUAAAACAAAAAUAAUAAUUCAUAAUACUAUUUACAUUGUCAAAAUCCAAACUUAAUUAAACCAAGGUAAUAGUGGAGCGUUUAAGACAUCAAAUCAAAACUGAAAGAAAAGCCUCGCAAACAAGCAAGGCAUACCGACCAGAAUUGAAGAAGCGGAAACACUCACAAAGUCCAACUGCUAUCAGAAACUAAGAACCUGAAAUAAUAUUAAGAAUAAGAGGUGAGUUCAACCAACUCAGUGACGGAAUAAUAAUUAAUAUACAUUUCAGAUAUUUAAAAUAUUAAUAGUUUGCAAGAUGAUUUAUCUUGAUAUACAUAUACAUAUACAUACUAAACAUAUUAUCAUAACGUAGUGGAAUACAUGUCAGAGAUCAGAGGACACCCAAAGGUGACCAGAUGACACUCGUCGGUGACCACUGUGGGAUGAUCAGUCGCCACAGGCUGAUGCCUCUCUCACCAGCUAGGUAUACAUAAUACUAUGUGCACACAGGCUAACUACUCUCCGUUAGCAUGGAGUUGCUGACAAGUCCCAUAUCAAGGCAUAACAAAUAUUCACAUAAUCCUCAAAGAAACGUAUAUCAUAUCAAAUAGAAUUUACUUUGUCAGAUUGCGAGUGCAAAUUCAAGAAUAAAUGAGUACUCGGAAAAUAAAGCAACAUAUAUAAAUAUUCAAGAAAUUUACUAGUUGUACUCAUUGUAUAAUCAACAUACAUAUUUAUUUAUAUUAUAUGCAUAUUAAAGAUUAUUCCACUCACUUGACUCAAAAGCAAACAAAAGUCAAAAGCAGACACCGAAGAAAAUCCUACUAAUGUCCUGCCAGUAGAAUAUCAGGAUUCUCUGAAUACAAAGGAGACAUAUUCAAAGACGACUCGAAUAUGCUUAGGUCGAAGGAUAUAACUUCAGUGAAAGUGAAAUGGAAAGGUCAUUCAUGUGAGGAAGCGACAUGGGCGCUCGAGAAUAAGAUGCGUGAGGAGUAUCCUCAUCUUUUCAAUAAUCUCGGUAAGUAUUCAAUAUUUUCUAUUAAGUUUUGAGGACGAAACUUUUAUAAGGUGGGAGAUUAUGAUGUUUUGUAUUAAGAAGAUAGGAAAUGGCAACAAAGCCCUUGGUGGCUUAAAGAGUGAGUAAAAUUUGAAUAAGAGUACUAUGGUAAUUGAAUAAAACUUGAUAAAAAAAAAAAAAAAAAAGGCUCUGAUUUUGAGAGAAAGAGGGUUACGGGAGAAGAGAAGAAAAGGGGAAGAAGAAGAAGAGAAAAGAGGGAAAGAUAAGGGAAGGAGAAGAGAGUUGAAGGAAAUAAGUUUAAAGGUAAGAUUAUGUAUAAAUAUGUGUUAAUUAAGCUUUAAUUUUCGGUUUUGAUUAAUUUUAGAGUUAUGAAGUUUGUGUUUUGAGUUUAUUGAUGAAUUAAUUUGAAGGUUAGGGGUUGAUUGUUGUGGGUAAUUGAUUAUUAAGUUGAAUUUGAGAGAUUGUAGAUAAAAAUAAUGAUUUUGAGUUAUGAUUUUGUUUGAAUGGUGAAUUUGUGUUAGAAAUCAGGGGAUAACAGUAGGUGAUCUGUUGAAAUUUUGGGUUUGAGGUUGAAGAUGACGAAAAUUCAGUUUGGUCCCUCAAUUUACGAAAGUUACAGUUUAGCCCCCAAACUUUGGAAAAUUACAAAUUGGUCCCUGGAGCAUAUUCCGAGAUUCUGAACAGAAUAACAUAUGAAUUAUGGACAGAAUUACUGUAUAGAUAAGAGAAGGUCAAAAGCAAACAAAAGUCAAAAGUAUAAUUUAACACUUUCAAUUUAGUCCUCCAAUUUGACAAAAAGUAUAAUUUGACCCUAAAAAUUUGGUAAAUUUCCAGAAUGGUCCCUAGAGCAUAAUGAUAUAUCCUGGACAGAAUUGAGGAUUAAUUAUAGUCAGAAUUUCAGUAUAUUCAUGGAUUUAUGAUAAAUUUCAGUUUGGUCCUCCAACUAGACAAAAAUUACAAUUUGGCCCUAAAAGUAUAAUAAAGUACAGAUUAGUCCCUAGCUGUAAUAUUAGCUUUUUCAGAUUAGUUUUUAUGAAUAAUUAAGGGUUACUUAGUGAAAUAUUACCGAUUUUAUUAACUGUUUAAUUAUGGAUUAGAUUUCGAGAAAACCGUUAGAUUUUAGGUUUUUGAGAAAAUUGACUAGUUAGUUCAAAAACAUAUAGGGUUAUGGAAUACACACUUAGUUAAGUGUAUUAAAUAGGUUAAAUAUUCUUUCGAGUCGUUUUUGAAUAUGUCCCCUUUGUAUUCAGAGAAUCCUGAUAUUCUACCGGUAGGACGUCAGUAGGAUUUUCUUCGGUGUCUGCUUUUUACCUUUGUUUGCUUUUGAGUCAGGUGAGUGGAAUAAUCUUUAAUAUGCAAAUAUAGUGUGUAUUCAGUAACAAAAGUCAAAAGCAAACGCCGUAGAAAAUCUUAUUAACAUCCUCCCGGUAGAAUAUCAGGAUUCUCUGAAUACAAAGGAGACAUAUUCAAAAACGACUCGAAAAAACAUUUAACCUAUUUAAUACACUUAACUAAGUGUGUAUUCCGUAACCCUAUAUAUUUUUGAACUAACUAGUCAAUUUUUUCAAAAACCUAAAAUCUAACGGUUUUCUCGAAAUCUAAUCCAUAAUUAAACAGUUAAUAAAAUCGGUAAUAUUUCACUAAGUAACCCUUAAUUAUUCAUAAAAACUAAUCUGAAAAAGCUAAUAUUACAGCUAGGGACUAAUCUGUACUUUAUUAUACUUUUAGGGCCAAAUUGUAAUUUUUGUCUAGUUGGAGGACCAAACUGAAAUUUAUCAUAAAUCCAUGAAUAUACUGAAAUUCUGACCAUAAUAAUCCUCAAUUCUGUCCAGGAUAUAUCAUUAUGCUCCAGGGACCAUUCUGGAAUUUUACCAAAUUUUUAGGGUCAAAUUAUACUUUUUUCAAAUUGGAGGACUAAAUUAAAAGUGUUAAAUUCUCUUAUCUAUACAGUAAUUAUGUCCAUAAUUCAUAUGUUAUUUUGUUCAGAAUCUCGGAAUAUGCUCCAGGGAUCAAUUUGUAAUUUUCCAAAGUUUUGGGGACUAAACUGUAACUUUCGUAAAUUGAGGGACCAAACUGAAUUUUCGUCAUCUUCAACCUCAAACCCAGAAUUUUUCACAGAUUACCUACUGUUAUCCCCUGAUUUCUAACACAAAUUCACCAUUCAAAGAAAACCAUAACUCAAAAUCAUCAUUUUUCUCUACAAUCUCUCAAAUUCAACUUAAUAAUCAAUUACCCACAACAAUCAACCCCUAACCUUCAAAUUAAUUCAUCAAUAAACUCAAAAUACAAUCUUCAAAACUCUAAAAUUAAUCAAAACCAAAAUUAAAGCUUAAUUAACACAUAUUUAUACAUAAUCUUACCUUUAAACUUAUUUCCUUCAACUCUCUUCUCCUUCCCUUAUCUUUCCCUCUUUUCUCUUUUUCUUCUUCCCCUUUUCUUCUCCUCCCGUAACCCUCUUUCUCUCAAAAUCAG